RNAcentral lists this unclassified non-coding RNA (378 nucleotides) under uncultured bacterium. RNAcentral's name for it is "contains 16S-23S intergenic spacer region". The record is from RNAcentral.
UCCGAGUUGACCCCGGCAGUCUCCUGCGAGUCCCCACCAUUACGUGCUGGCAACAUGAGACAAGGGUUGCGCUCGUUGCGGGACUUAACCCAACAUCUCACGACACGAGCUGACGACAGCCAUGCAGCACCUGUGCACCGGCCCCGAAGGGAGGGUGUGUUUCCACACCUGUCCCGUGCAUGUCAAACCCCGGUAAGGUUCUUCGCGUUGCGUCGAAUUAAACCACAUGCUCCACCGCUUGUGCGGGCCCCCGUCAAUUCCUUUGAGUUUCAACCUUGCGGUCGUACUCCCCAGGCGGGACACUUAAUGCGUUAGCUGCGGCACUGGAGGGGUCGAUGCCUCCAACACCUAGCACCCAUCGUUUACGGCGUGGACUAC